Long non-coding RNA from Sorghum bicolor (sorghum), 552 nucleotides. RefSeq lists it as uncharacterized. The record is from RefSeq and is a predicted model, not a curated record. NCBI's taxonomy places the organism in Eukaryota, Viridiplantae, Streptophyta, Magnoliopsida, Poales, Poaceae. The transcript is spliced from 2 exons.
CAAGUCUAGCCGUAAGGGUAUAGAAGUUUAUACCCCCACAGGUACAUCUAAAAACCCAAAACUUUAUAAGACUUCUCGUCACACUCACACUCAGAGUCAGAGAGAAAGGAUAUAUAAGAAGCUAUAGCGAGGGGGAAUACUCAUCCUACCAAGUAUCAAGUUAUUAACAAACUAAAAGUAGCUCAGCCGAUUAUGCUAAAAACUUGCUCAUUUGGGCUAAUUAUAUUCAUCAACUUGAUAUAGUUGUUCGUAUUUUUUGGAUUUACUUUAUUAUUAGAAUUUAACGACUCUGUUUUUUCAAUGGUAGGCAAACUCAUGUAUCAACAAUAAAAUGUAUGAGAACGUUGGGUGCAUUUGGACGCAAGGCUAUACAAGUCUACAUAAUGUUGGGAGCAUCUGGAUGCAAGCUUCAACGACAUUUAUAAUAGGACACAGGGAGUAUAUAGACAAGGAUGUCUGGGUAUGCUACCCGCUCGUCCUUUCUCUUUGACCAUUUAACAAACACGUUACUUGGUGUAUAUAAAGAAUAUAUAAAAAGGAAACUCUAUCUCA